Molecule: ribosomal RNA, 1374 nt
Filed under: uncultured bacterium
Lineage: Bacteria
Description: bacterial SSU rRNA
Rfam family: Bacterial small subunit ribosomal RNA
Source: RNAcentral
AGAGUUUGAUCCUGGCUCAGGACGAACGCUGGCGGCGCGCCUAACACAUGCAAGUCGAACGGAGCUGAGAGAAGCUUGCUUUUCUUAGCUUAGUGGCGAACGGGUGAGUAACGCGUGAGUAACCUGCCCUGGAGUGGGGGACAACAGUUGGAAACGACUGCUAAUACCGCAUAAGCCCACGGUGCUGCAUGGCACUGCGGGAAAAGGAUUUAUUCGCUCUAGGAUGGACUCGCGUCCAAUUAGCUAGUUGGUGAGGUAACGGCCCACCAAGGCGACGAUUGGUAGCCGGACUGAGAGGUUGAACGGCCACAUUGGGACUGAGACACGGCCCAGACUCCUACGGGAGGCAGCAGUGGGGGAUAUUGCACAAUGGGGGAAACCCUGAUGCAGCGACGCCGCGUGGAGGAAGAAGGUUUUCGGAUUGUAAACUCCUGUCGUUAGGGACGAUAAUGACGGUACCUAACAAGAAAGCACCGGCUAACUACGUGCCAGCAGCCGCGGUAAAACGUAGGGUGCAAGCGUUGUCCGGAAUUACUGGGUGUAAAGGGAGCGCAGGCGGACCGGCAAGUUGGAAGUGAAAUCCAUGGGCUCAACCCGUGAAUUGCUUUCAAAACUGCUGGCCUUGAGUAGUGCAGAGGUAGGUGGAAUUCCCGGUGUAGCGGUGGAAUGCGUAGAUAUCGGGAGGAACACCAGUGGCGAAGGCGACCUACUGGGCACCAACUGACGCUGAGGCUCGAAAGCAUGGGUAGCAAACAGGAUUAGAUACCCUGGUAGUCCAUGCCGUAAACGAUGAUUACUAGGUGUUGGAGGAUUGACCCCUUCAGUGCCGCAGUUAACACAAUAAGUAAUCCACCUGGGGAGUACGACCGCAAGGUUGAAACUCAAAGGAAUUGACGGGGGCCCGCACAAGCAGUGGAAGUAUGUGGUUUAAUUCGAAGCAACGCGAAGAACCUUACCAGGUCUUGACAUCCCAAUGCAUAAUGCAAAGAUGCAUGAAAUCCUUCCGGGAAUCGAGACAGGUGGUGCAUGGUUGUCGUCAGCUCGUGUCGUGAGAUGUUGGGUUAAGUCCCGCAACGAGCGCAACCCUUAUUGCCAGUUACUACGAAAGAGGACUCUGGCGAGACUGCCGUUGACAAAACGGAGGAAGGUGGGGAUGACGUCAAAUCAUCAUGCCCUUUAUGACCUGGGCUACACACGUACUACAAUGGCGUUUAACAAAGAGAAGCAAGACCGCGAGGUGGAGCAAAACUCAGAAACAACGUCUCAGUUCAGAUUGCAGGCUGCAACUCGCCUGCAUGAAGUCGGAAUUGCUAGUAAUCGCGGAUCAGCAUGCCGCGGUGAAUACGUUCCCGGGCCUUGUACACACCGCCCGUC